AUGGCUCAGGACGAACGCUGGCGGCGUGCCUAAUACAUGCAAGUCGAACGGUCUUUCUAUGGAAGCUUGCUUCCACUGGGAAGAUAGUGGCGGACGGGUGAGUAACACGUGGGUAACCUGCCCAUAAGAGGGGGAUAACAUCCGGAAACGGGUGCUAAUACCGCAUAGUUUUCUUGAUCGCAUGAUUGAGAAAGGAAAGACGGCCUUUGUGCUGUCGCUUAUGGAUGGACCCGCGGCGUAUUAGUUAGUUGGUGAGGUAACGGCUCACCAAGACGAUGAUACGUAGCCGACCUGAGAGGGUGAUCGGCCACAUUGGGACUGAGACACGGCCCAAACUCCUACGGGAGGCAGCAGUAGGGAAUCUUCCGCAAUGGACGAAAGUCUGACGGAGCAACGCCGCGUGAGUGAAGAAAGGUUUUCGGAUCGUAAAACUCUGUUGUCAGAGAAGAACAAGUCGGAGAGUAACUGCUCCGGCCUUGACGGUAUCUGACCAGAAAGCCACGGCUAACUACGUGCCAGCAGCCGC
Molecule: ribosomal RNA, 526 nt
Filed under: uncultured bacterium
Lineage: Bacteria
Description: bacterial SSU rRNA
Rfam family: Bacterial small subunit ribosomal RNA
Source: RNAcentral